Molecule: small nuclear RNA, 104 nt
Organism: Sciurus carolinensis (gray squirrel)
Lineage: Eukaryota; Metazoa; Chordata; Mammalia; Rodentia; Sciuridae
Source: RefSeq, a predicted model, not a curated record
GUGCUCAAUUCGACAGUACAUAUACUAAAAUUGGAACGAUACAGAGAUUAGCCUGGCCCCUGAGCAAGGAUGACAGGUAAAUUUGUGAAGUAUUCUAUAUUUUA